Molecule: ribosomal RNA, 253 nt
Filed under: uncultured bacterium
Lineage: Bacteria
Description: partial 16S ribosomal RNA
Rfam family: Bacterial small subunit ribosomal RNA
Source: RNAcentral
UACGAAGGGGGCUAGCGUUGCUCGGAAUCACUGGGCGUAAAGCGCACGUAGGCGGGUCCUUAAGUCAGGGGUGAAAUCCCGGAGCCCAACUCCGGAACUGCCUUUGAUACUGGGGAUCUUGAGUCCGGAAGAGGUGAGUGGAACUCCGAGUGUAGAGGUGAAAUUCGUAGAUAUUCGGAAGAACACCAGUGGCGAAGGCGGCUCACUGGUCCGGUACUGACGCUGAGGCGCGAAAGCCAGGGGAGCAAACGGG